Molecule: long non-coding RNA, 2405 nt
Organism: Hypanus sabinus (Atlantic stingray)
Lineage: Eukaryota; Metazoa; Chordata; Chondrichthyes; Myliobatiformes; Dasyatidae
Exons: 2
Source: RefSeq, a predicted model, not a curated record
AUCGUUGCUUUGCUGCUGCUUACACGUGGGGGGAGCUGGAGGGGCUUUGGGGUUCUAACAUUGAACUGUCAUUCAUUCUUUGGGGCACUCCUCUGUUUUUGUGGCUGGUUGAGAAGAAAAAGAAUUUCAGGAUAUAUAUUGUAUACAUUUCUCUGACAUUAAAUGUACCUUUGAAACUUUGAAACCAUUGCCUCUCUUUAGUGUUGCCUCUUUGUCUAAACCUGAAUUCUUGUGGCUGUGAAUCAAUUUGACAAAUCACUUGAUGAGCCGAGCACUGUUUUGCUAUGGGACAGGUGACAGUCAAGUUACUGUUAAAAUAAGGUGUUAGUGGGGGGGGGGGAGGCAGGGGUGUCUCCAUUUAUCAAGCUCCCUCUCAGGUGUAUUAGCUUUCUGGCCUGGUGUUUAUAAGAAUCAUGGGUAGAAGGAAGCCAUUUGGCCCAUCAUGUAUGUACUAUCUUUCUGAAAUAGUGAACUAGUUAAUCCUGUUCCCCUGCUCUUUCAGCAUUCAACCAUUUAUCGUUUACCCCCUACAAGUUCCUUCUUCAAGCAGUAUGUUCUAGAUUAUAAAUACUCCACAUAUAAAUUGAAUUCUACUCUUCCCAUUUGUUCUUAAGCCAAUCAUGGUAAACCGUGUCCUCUGGUCACUGGCUUUCCUGCCACCGGAAUCCUAUUCCCAUCAUCUUCUCCAUCUAAAAGCUCUGGAAUACUUCUAUCAAAUCUCUUAACCAUCUCCGUUUUGCAGAGGAAGUGUCUCACUUUCCCCACAUAACACAGUCCUAGUAAAUUUUGUCUUAAUGUAAAAUUGGCCAGAAGACUUCAACUAAUAAACUGAGAUUUCUGAAAGACUCUGGUAGUCUGCGGCUGAUCACAGAUCUUCCCUGGGGCAGAAGCAGCUACAAUUUUCAAAACCAUUAUCAAGUUAACAAAUGUAGCUCCAUUAUGAGUCACUGUUUCAGUAUUGAGAUUAGAUCCUUGUUGGGAUCAUAGAUCAUUCUUCUACAAGUAGGAAAGUAUGAACAAAGAACAAGGGAACCAGAUAUAGAUCUAACGCCAGAGGGCAGAGAUUUUGACUCCUUCACAUAGGUGAAUGCAAGAGUUUCUGUCUCCAAACCUUAUCACACUUCUGUUUAGAUUGUCUACAUUUAACAUUUUUCUGCAUCACACUGAGGUGCCCCACUGUCUGAUUGAAGUGCCAAGAGGGAAAACCUUGUGUCAGGUGAAGCAGAUGGUGCUGCUGCCUCAUAGUUUCAGUGACCUGGGCUGAACCCUGAUCUUGCACGCUCAGUGUCCAGUUAGAGGUUCUACCUGUGAUCACAUAGGCUUCUUCCCUCAUCCCAAAAUCACGAUGGCUGGCUGGUUAAUGGUUCAUUGUAAAUUGUCGCCGGUGUGAUUUGGUGGUAGGAGAUUCAGUGGGUGGGGAUUGUGGGUAAGCUGGUGGGCUUCUGAGAGAAAGUCACAUAGAACAUGGAACAAUAUAACACAGGAAUAGAUACUUCAACCUUUGAGCUUUGACACGCUAACUAAGCCAAUGACGCCUAAUCCCUUCUGUCUGCAUGUGGUCUAUGACCUUUCUUUCUCUGCAUAUUCAUGUGUCUAGUGUAUUCCAGGCACCCAAAGUUUGCCCUGCACAUCUCCUUUGAACUUACGAGCACGAGAGCAUCAGCAGAUGCUGGAAAUCCAGAGUGACACACAAUGCUGGAGGAACUCAGCAGGGGUCUUUUGAAGACACACGCUGGAGUUACACACUGACUACAGUUCUUUGCAGGAAUGGGACCCACUUUUGGGGUUUCACGACUGGCCGUUAUUCAGCAUGCCAAGAGUGCUGCCUAGGAGCUUCAUUUGCCUUUGGAGGGCCGAGAUCUUGUGGCUCUGGAGGCGAGUAGAUCGAAGGUCGGUGUUUGGGCAGGAGAUUGGUUUGUCAUGUGAGAUGGAAGCUCUGAUGCUGUGUGCUCAGAAACCCGAGAUCUUUGGGCACAGAGCUUGGAAAAAAUGAUGCAACAGACUUUCAACAUCGUAAAUCAGUGAGCUGUUUGUUAUGUCUCCCCUCUCGCUGUGAAAUGGAGACAUUAGGGAGGGAGAGAGCCUGUGGUGUGUCGAAUACCAGGUGAAUGAGCAGUCUUUGGAGUACUGCAAGUCUGUAUCUUUGCUGUUGCUUUGCUCACACUUGAGUGCUUGGUGGCGGGUGCUGAUGCUUUUCUUUGUCGGUGGGAGGAGUGGGGGAUCAUUGCUUGCUGCCACUUAUGCGCAGGAGGGAGGGGACUUUGGGUUCUAAGUCAUUCGUUCUUUGGGGGCACUCCUCUGUUUUUGUGGAUGGCUGCAAAGAAAAAGCAUUUCAGGAUGUAUAUUGUAUAUAUUUCUCUGACAUUAAAUGUUCCUUUGAAACCUUGAGGGGUUCCAGAGUACAA